RNAcentral lists this transfer RNA (71 nucleotides) under Marmota monax (woodchuck). RNAcentral describes it as "tRNA.Ala". It matches the Rfam family "tRNA". Rfam says of the family: Transfer RNA (tRNA) molecules are approximately 80 nucleotides in length. Their secondary structure includes four short double-helical elements and three loops (D, anti-codon, and T loops). Lineage: Eukaryota; Metazoa; Chordata; Mammalia; Rodentia; Sciuridae. The record is from RNAcentral.
GGGGUUGUGGCUCAAUGGUAGAGCACUUGCAUAGCACGUAUGAGGCACUGGGUUCGGUUCUCAGCACCACA